AGACAUCGCUGCGGCCGGGAUAGGGCGCCGCCGUUCUGGCCGGCUUUCUCGGUGCCCUGGAGGACCUGGCCGGCUCCGCGGGAAGCUGUACUCAGAGCGCGCGGCCGCCCUCUGGCAGGGAGGAGUUCGUUGCACUUUUGAGGGUUCUUCACGAAGACAUCCAAUACAUAGAAAACAAGUAACAGCAACAGUAACGAAUUUUUAAAUAUUAAAAUUGCUGGGGAACACGACGGAUCCUGCAGCUGCUCGGCUGUCCCGGUCGUCAGUGACGCUAGGGCUCCGCACCGUACCCUGCAUACCGUAGGUGCUCACGAAACGUUCGUGAGUUCCCUGCUCUGAGGAAACAAGCUUAAAAACUCAGAAUCUAAGGUGUGAGUCUCCGCAAACCUGCUUGUUGGGCAGCGUCCCCCGCCCGGGCUAGCCCUGCACGCCCCACCCCGGAGCCACGCUUCUCCAGCCGGGACCCCUGCCUCCUUCCAGGCUAUUCUCGGAACCGCAGCCAGAGGGAAUUUUUUUUUCCUUUCCUGAAACGUAGAGCAGAUCUGGUUACUCUUCUGCACAACGCCCUAAAAUCUAGGGCCCUUCCCAUCCCUCAGAAUUUACAUCUAAUUCUCAGCUCCCCUCCGGCUUGCUGUAGCCAUCCUGGCUUUUGUUUAGCACAGCACUUACUGUUAGUGACAUUAUAUUGUAUAUUAUUAACAUAUUUGUGUUUUACAUCCCUCACUAGACCCCCAGGAAAGAGGCUUUGAUGUGUUGCCUGCUGCAAGGCUGGCUGCAUAAUUUGUGGAGCUCAGAGAAAAGUGCGGAGCUUCCUUGUUCAAAAAACAGAAAGAAAGUGCCUCUGAGGUCAUAAAAUAUAAAACUUUCUCUUUCCUCUCAGUUUCUCUCUUUUCAUAGUGUUUUUAUGUGUUAUUUAAUAUCAUUCCAAGAAAAAUUUAGAUUUAAAUUGUUAGCAUGAAGUUCACCAUCCAUCUUUACGUUGUGCAAUGCCAGUUUUAAAUACUAAUAUAAGUGCACUGAUCUCAUAUGUGGAAUCACAGAAAUUAUGCAAUUUGUACUUCAUAGCUUAUACAUGCAUAUAGAUUUUGUUUUUACCAGAACCACGCUGGUAAAAACAGAUGCUGCACAAAGUGAACUUGCCCGUUUUCAUCGCACUUUACGUGCACGAAUUCUACCUCUACUCUCGACCUGGGACUCACCGAUGCGUAAGGAAGGACUGAAAAGCAAAAGAACUAUGGACUGGCCUUUUGGCAUGAUCAGGUGUCUAAUAUAAAGAAGUGCAUGAAUAAGAAAAUAUAUGAUAUGAGUGAUGGUUAAUACUGACUGUCAACUUGAUUGGAUUGAAGGAUGCAAAGUAUUGAUCCUGGGUGUGUCUGUGAGGGUGUUGCCAAAGGAGAUUAACAUUUGAGUCAGUGGGCUGGGAAAGUUCGACCCACUGUUAAUCUAGAUGGACACCAUCUAAUCAGAUGCCAGUGCAGCUAGAAAUGUAAAGCAGACAGAAAAAUGCGAAAAGAGAGACUGGCCUAGCCUGCCAGCCUACAUCUUUCUCCCACGCUGGAUGCUUCCUGCCCUCGAACAUCAGACUCCAAGUUCUUCAGUUUGGGACUUGGACUGGCUCUCCUUGUUCCUCAGCUUGAAGACUGCCCAUUGUGGGACUUGUGAUCAUGUGCCAUGAUAAAUAAGCCAGUUUGAGUCACUUGGUCUAAUAUCGAGACCACGAACAUAUUGAUCACAGAAUGUGUUAGGUAAGCAUGUUGUUGACUGAAGUGUAAGUAAGGUGCUCACCUUAAAUGCAUGUGCCAACAUCAGCAUCUUCAGAAGAGUCUCUUUCCCUUUGGGACAUCGAGGUGACUGACAGUUAAACAAGCCGUAUUUGGAGUAGGUGUACAAUCAGCCUCCUUCCAGUUCUCCUUGGCACUUUCCAGUUCACAAAGGACACUUCACUCCUUUUUGGUUUUUUUGAGACAGGGUCUCACUCUGUCACCCAGGCUAGAGUACGGUGGUGAGAUCACCCCUCACUGCAACCUCCGUCUCCUGGGCUCAAGUGAUCCUCCCACCUCAGCCUCCCAAGUAGCUGGUACCACAGGUGCAUGCCACCACACCUGGCUGAUUUUUGUAUUUUGUGUAGAAGGGGGUAUUGCCCUAUCGCCUAGGCUGGAAGGCUGUUAAGAGGAGAACUGAGCAAUGAGGAUCCCAUCCUGGACUUCGCAGACUUGCUGUGCUUUUGAAUGCUUCUCUCACGGUCAGAGCCUGCACUGGAAAAGAUGGCAUUUGGGACAACACACCUGGCUGCUGCCCCAGGAAGAAAGUAGUGAACACUGGAGGACUGUCAGCCCUGUCAGUUUCUGGAAAUGUGCCCUGAGUUUAAGUUCUGGUUUCAGAUUAUGAGGAGCAAAAUUACUGAGUAGGCCUCCUCCUAGAACAGGAAGCUCUUCCCGCUGUGGGCCAGUGGCUCUGACAUAUCACAGAGCCUGCUCUGAUGAAGGCAGCAGGAAUGAUUUCAAAACAAGCAAAACCAAAGAAAACUGUUUGACAAUGGAAGUAAUAGAGGCUCAUUUUAGAAAACAUAGACAUAAAGAAAAAAAGAAGAAUCUUCCAUAACCCACAGAUUAUAACUACUUACAUACCUUCCAGGCUUUAUUUCUCUUUUUUAAAAAACAAAUGUUAAAGUGGAAUUUACCUAUAAAAAAGAUACAGGUCCUAAGAGCACAGCUUGGCUUGAUCAAUUUUCUCAAGUUGAAUGCACCUGUGCAAUCAGUGCCAGGCUGAACACACAGCCUCAGCAGCGCCUGGAAGCUUUUCCAAGCCUCCUUAUUGUCAUCCCUCCCUCCCCAGGGGUAGCUGCGAUCACUGUAGCUUUGGUCUGAACUAUAUAUAAAUGCAAUCAUGCCACGUUAUGUUUCUGAGACUCACCCACACCCUGGCAAGCCAUUGCAGUUUGUUUAUUCUCAAUGUUCUACAAGCAGCAGUCCCCAAGCUUUUUGGCACCGGGGACCAGUCUCAUGGAGGACGAUUUUUCCGCAGACCAGGAUAACAGAAGUUCAAGAGGAAAGGACAGUGAGAGACCAUGACUAAAGAAUUACUCCGUGAACAACUCAGGAGGACCAGCUAUGAUUUCACUCUCAUUCAAAAAAGAGAAAUAAUAUUUCUUUCAGCUGCUACCCAUAAAAUAUUUUUGAAUGUGUGUACAAUGUUCAUGCUGUAAUGGCUGCUCUAUCAUGAAGGAUGUGUUGACACCUCGUGGGUGGCUUUUCACAAUCCCCUUGGACACAGAUUGGGGGAUUGACGGCCCCAUCCCCUCAUUUUCCACACCGAGGGGCAGUUGGGAUAUGCAUAAAAUCUUGUUCUCUAGUUAGGACCUGUUGCUAUAAAUCUAGCAUCAAGAGUAUCACUAUUUUCUAAACACUUUGCCAGACAGCCUUCGGAGUAUAAUUUUCUGAAGUUUAUAAAGCAUAACUCAUACACACACCUAGUGACCAUGUUCUGAAGGUAUAUUUAACUCCUGCAUGAGGGAACAGGCAGGAUGAAAGUGGGUUCUAAGGAAGAGACUAGCAUAUAUGAUCAACGGGGAAAAAUGAAGAGUAAGCUUGAAACCGCCUUUGCAAAAAUUAUAACCGAGGAGAUUAUGACAGUGAAGGAGAUCAGACCUAACCGACCCCAUCUUGCUUCUAACCUUUAAGCUGUCCUUGUUCAUUCCUGGGUGUAGGCCGAACUAACUUUGGGAAGGAAUUUGUUCGUGGUUUGACUCUGAAACAAAAAAAUUGAUAAUAGCCCUUUCCCGAAAAGACCGCCUUCUUGCCUGGGGACCAGUCUGCCUUUGCAGGACCAACAAAUUAACUACGAGAUUAGAAAUUACAGUUUAGGGGUCCUGCAGCCUCUGACUCCAAGAGUCUGACCCUCCCCACAUUGCUUCUGGGGAUAACAUCACUAUUAUAAAACCUAAGAUCAGUGCUUGAGAUAUUUUGCAGACCCUGCACUGGAUGGAUCAGCUGACACCACCCAGACCCGUAAUCUGGAUCAACCAGUUCUGCCAUCCCACCCAGGAACAGAAGAUGCAAGAAAAACUCACUUUGACCCUCUAUGAUUCCAUCUCCAACCUGACCAAUCAGUACUCCCCACUUCCCAAGCCCCUGCCUGCCAAAUUAUCUUUAAAAACUCUGAUCCCCGAAUGCUUGGAGAGGCUGAUUUGAGUAACAACACAACUCUGGUCUCCUGCACAGCCAGUUCUGUGUGAACUACCCUUCGCCCAUUGCAAUUCCCCUGUCUUGAUAAAUUGGCUCUGUCGAGGCAGUGGGCAAGGUGAACCCACUGGGCAGUUACAAGACUGCAAAGUUAGAAACAAAACUGGCAAUGCCCCAUGGGUCAAAAAUAAUCAAUUAAUUCAUAACAUUUGACUUGAUUAAGUUUUCUACUGGACAGAAACAAUUUGCAACUUAUCCUUCCUCUACAUUGUUUGACUGCCAUGUCAAUUGUAAGUAUUAGAUCAAAUUUUAAAAUAAUUAUUUUAGAGCUUCAGAUGCACCUUACAUGGGCUUGUUAGAUUGUUAGACACUGCUUAGUGACAUUGAAAGAGGGCACAAUACUUUUUUUGCCUUAUUUCUAAGUUGUGGGUAUCCUUUUCUUAACACUUCUUUUCUGUGAUUCUAUGCAAGACAAUCGUUGAUGAAAUGGGAUUUUCUGGAUGGAAAGUCCGUGUACUUUACUGAAACCUCUUUCUACAGUUCUGUCUUUCAAGUGGGAUUCUGUGAGCUGACUCAUGACAGCUGAGCAUCAUCGGAGAUUGGCUUCAAUGGUCCUCAAUGUGCAGAACAUAAAUAGCAAUUUCUACCAUCAUUCAAUAGCAUUUGUGGGUCCUUUUAUAUGGAGUAUAUAAAAGUAUUUGCAGGUCUUGGUUUAUCUGUCCCCACGUGACAUACCUAUAGAACAGGUAUUUUCAUCCCAGCUACUUAUUAUAAAUAUUUAAUAAGUAGGCUAAUGGUUUGGAAUUCUAUUUCUCUAUUUGCAUGAGUCAAAUAAUAGACCAAAUUCUUUCAAAAAGAGGAGAUGUUAACAUACCAAAAGAAACUGAAACAAGAGCAUUGAACCCACGGUGCCCUUCAGAAACACCUGCCAACAAUGGGGCAGAGUGUCCAGCUGCCUGGACAGUGUGUGCAGGGGCGGGGCCCUUCCUGUUCACAAUGGCUUUGCCUGGCAGUUAAAAUGCAAAUGGAGGGCAGACUGAGAGUGCAUCACCCUCUCACAUCUCAGAGUCUAAAAGGCGGCCUUUCAGUGCCUUCUGUUCAAAUUGCAAAUGCUCUUCCUUUAUCCCCCAAGGCCUGGGAGACAGUUCUGAAUAAUUCUUCCCCAACAAAUUGGCUUUCCUCUUCCCAGCAACAAAAGCCCUUAUUGGUUUUAAAAGUGCAAAGAACAAAUUUUAUUCAAGGGUCUUAAGGCAGAUGAAGGUUCACAGAAACUACAAGGGCAGUUCCAGGGCCUCCACGUACGACCGUGUCCCUAUAACGACUGGUCCUUAUAAGAGGCCAGCAACAGUAUCUUAUUUUCCUGUACAGGCCUGGGAUUCCCAGUAAUUUCUUUGCAUUGGCUUUGUAAGCACAAUUACCCAGAGUUUCCGAGAAUUGGGACAUUUCCAAGAAAUUGCCCAAUGGGUCAGUGGAGUGCUGUCAAAUGAGAUGGACCAUCUUAAAAUCAAAACGUGGGUGGUUUCUGCUCAUUGCUGAGCAUUUCACUUCCAUUCUGAAAAGUCUAAGAACGUCACUCCAGGAGAUACAAUGUCAAGGGCUCCCGCCACUCUUCAUCAUUGCCCAAGUCAUAAGAAUCAUCCCCCAAAUUCCUUCUAUUUCUCCAAGGUAGGGUAACCCAGGGCUGGGUAAGCCUGUUAGGGCAGGUCAGGUUGGCACAUACCGAGGAGGAACUCAGACAGACAGACAGCGCCAGGGGACCAGCGGCACUGUGUGCUCAUCACCACCCUCAGGGAUUCAAGGGCCUUGUCCUGGUACCUGGGUCACCUUCUGAAAUAAGUGCUACUGAGGUUCAUGGCCAAGACCCUUCCAGGAAAUUCAGAAGGAGGUUGGCUUCAGUGGGAAAGUAGUCUGUGACCCAGAAGGUGUUUAUUCAACAAGGUGCAAGCUGACAACAUGUUUCUUUGCUCUGGACACUGGAAUUAAACUCCUAAGAGACCCUA
This 6181-nucleotide long non-coding RNA is filed under the name Homo sapiens (human). RNAcentral describes it as "COPS8 divergent transcript, transcript variant 7 (COPS8-DT)". The record is from RNAcentral. Lineage: Eukaryota; Metazoa; Chordata; Mammalia; Primates; Hominidae.